This 487-nucleotide ribosomal RNA is filed under the name Vibrio parahaemolyticus. Its description in RNAcentral is "bacterial SSU rRNA". It matches the Rfam family "Bacterial small subunit ribosomal RNA", at positions 342 to 821 of the family's 1533-position model. The record is from RNAcentral. Lineage: Bacteria; Pseudomonadati; Pseudomonadota; Gammaproteobacteria; Vibrionales; Vibrionaceae.
CGGGAGGCAGCAGUGGGGAAUAUUGCACAAUGGGCGCAAGCCUGAUGCAGCCAUGCCGCGUGUGUGAAGAAGGCCUUCGGGUUGUAAAGCACUUUCAGUCGUGAGGAAGGUAGUGUAGUUAAUAGCUGCAUUAUUUGACGUUAGCGACAGAAGAAGCACCGGCUAACUCCGUGCCAGCAGCCGCGGUAAUACGGAGGGUGCGAGCGUUAAUCGGAAUUACUGGGCGUAAAGCGCAUGCAGGUGGUUUGUUAAGUCAGAUGUGAAAGCCCGGGGCUCAACCUCGGAAUUGCAUUUGAAACUGGCAGACUAGAGUACUGUAGAGGGGGGUAGAAUUUCAGGUGUAGCGGUGAAAUGCGUAGAGAUCUGAAGGAAUACCGGUGGCGAAGGCGGCCCCCUGGACAGAUACUGACACUCAGAUGCGAAAGCGUGGGGAGCAAACAGGAUUAGAUACCCUGGUAGUCCACGCCGUAAACGAUGUCUACUUGGA